AUGAGCUUCUACAGCCUUCACGAGACUCUGCACCAUGAGAUCGCCAAAGUUCAGUCUCGCUUUUAUUGGGCAGGCGACAACAAUAAGCAGAAAUACCAUAUGGUUAGCUGGCCUGACAUCUGCAAGCCUAGGGAUCAAGGAGGCCUUGGGAUCAUGUGCUCCAAGCGCAUGAAUAUCGCCCUUCUACCCCGCUGGCUCUGGCGCAUCUUGCAAGGCCAUGGUGGCCUCUGGCUUGACAUCAUCCGGAACAAGUACCUGCGUGGUCAGCCACUUGCCUUUUGUCAGAGAUCUGGUGGCUCGCAGUUCUGGCAGUCGGUCGUCAAGCUGCUCCCUGUCCUUCGCAUCGGGACAUCCAUCUCGGUGGGGUCCGGAUCGGCCACGUUUUUCUGGUUUGACAGAUGGGCUGGAGAUUCCCCCUUCGUUGUGCGCUUUCCCGACCUCUUCUCCAUCGCAGUAGAACCCUUGAUCUCUAUUGAGAGGGCCCUUAUUGGCCUAGGGCGCCUUGCUUUCCGGAGGCCUUUUGGCCCCCCGGAGUCCGCCGCUUGGCGUGAGUUACUGGACUGUGUUGCUCUCCACGAGCCUGUGGUGGACAGUGGCCCGGACCAGGUGAGAUGGCGGCUCGAACCAUCGGGCCAAUUCUCCACCAAAUCUCUGUACCAGGCAAUCGCUCCCUCCUCCGCCCCUCCCCCCUUUCGACGGUGUGGUCCAUCCGCCUGCCCCUGA
RNAcentral lists this ribosomal RNA (723 nucleotides) under Triticum aestivum (bread wheat). Its description in RNAcentral is "partial small subunit ribosomal RNA". Lineage: Eukaryota; Viridiplantae; Streptophyta; Magnoliopsida; Poales; Poaceae. The record is from RNAcentral.